RNAcentral lists this ribosomal RNA (2904 nucleotides) under Mixta theicola. RNAcentral describes it as "23S ribosomal RNA". It matches the Rfam family "Bacterial large subunit ribosomal RNA". The record is from RNAcentral. Lineage: Bacteria; Pseudomonadati; Pseudomonadota; Gammaproteobacteria; Enterobacterales; Erwiniaceae.
UUAAGCGACCAAGCGUACACGGUGGAUGCCCUGGCAGUCAGAGGCGAUGAAGGACGUGCUAAUCUGCGAAAAGCGCCGGUAAGGUGAUAUGAACCGCUACAGCCGGCGAUGUCCGAAUGGGGAAACCCAGUGUGACUCGUCACACUAUCAUUGCGUGAAUACAUAGCGUAAUGAAGCGAACCGGGGGAACUGAAACAUCUAAGUACCCCGAGGAAAAGAAAUCAACCGAGAUUCCCCCAGUAGCGGCGAGCGAACGGGGAGCAGCCCAGAGCCUGCAUCAGCUUGUGUGUUAGUGGAAGCGUCUGGAAAGGCGCACGGUACAGGGUGACAGUCCCGUACACAAAAGCACACAGGCUGUGAGCUCGAUGAGUAGGGCGGGACACGUGGUAUCCUGUCUGAAUAUGGGGGGACCAUCCUCCAAGGCUAAAUACUCCUGACUGACCGAUAGUGAACCAGUACCGUGAGGGAAAGGCGAAAAGAACCCCGGCGAGGGGAGUGAAACAGAACCUGAAACCGUGUACGUACAAGCAGUGGGAGCACCUUCGUGGUGUGACUGCGUACCUUUUGUAUAAUGGGUCAGCGACUUAUAUUCUGUAGCAAGGUUAACCGCAUAGGGGAGCCGAAGGGAAACCGAGUCUUAACCGGGCGCUAAGUUGCAGGGUAUAGACCCGAAACCCGGUGAUCUAGCCAUGGGCAGGUUGAAGGUUGGGUAACACUAACUGGAGGACCGAACCGACUAAUGUUGAAAAAUUAGCGGAUGACCUGUGGCUGGGGGUGAAAGGCCAAUCAAACCGGGAGAUAGCUGGUUCUCCCCGAAAGCUAUUUAGGUAGCGCCUCGUGAAUUCAUCUCCGGGGGUAGAGCACUGUUUCGGCUAGGGGGCCAUCCCGGCUUACCAACCCGAUGCAAACUGCGAAUACCGGAGAAUGUUAUCACGGGAGACACACGGCGGGUGCUAACGUCCGUCGUGAAGAGGGAAACAACCCAGACCGCCAGCUAAGGUCCCAAAGUCAUGGUUAAGUGGGAAACGAUGUGGGAAGGCCCAGACAGCCAGGAUGUUGGCUUAGAAGCAGCCAUCAUUUAAAGAAAGCGUAAUAGCUCACUGGUCGAGUCGGCCUGCGCGGAAGAUGUAACGGGGCUAAACCAUGCACCGAAGCUGCGGCAGCGACACGUAAGUGUUGUUGGGUAGGGGAGCGUUCUGUAAGCCGUUGAAGGUGUGCUGUGAGGCAUGCUGGAGGUAUCAGAAGUGCGAAUGCUGACAUAAGUAACGAUAAAGCGGGUGAAAAGCCCGCUCGCCGGAAGACCAAGGGUUCCUGUCCAACGUUAAUCGGGGCAGGGUGAGUCGACCCCUAAGGCGAGGCCGAAAGGCGUAGUCGAUGGGAAACGGGUUAAUAUUCCCGUACUCGGCGUUACUGCGAAGGGGGGACGGAGAAGGCUAUGUUGGCCGGGCGACGGUUGUCCCGGUUUAAGCGUGUAGGCUGAGCAUCCAGGCAAAUCCGGAUGCUUAAGGCUGAGGCGUGACGACGAGGCGCUACGGCGCUGAAGCAACAAAUGCCCUGCUUCCAGGAAAAGCCUCUAAGCAUCAGGUAACGUCGAAUCGUACCCCAAACCGACACAGGUGGUCAGGUAGAGAAUACCAAGGCGCUUGAGAGAACUCGGGUGAAGGAACUAGGCAAAAUGGUGCCGUAACUUCGGGAGAAGGCACGCUGGCGCGUAGGUGAAGGGACUUGCUCCCGGAGCCGAAGCCAGUCGAAGAUACCAGCUGGCUGCAACUGUUUAUUAAAAACACAGCACUGUGCAAACACGAAAGUGGACGUAUACGGUGUGACGCCUGCCCGGUGCCGGAAGGUUAAUUGAUGGGGUCAGCCGCAAGGCGAAGCUCCUGAUCGAAGCCCCGGUAAACGGCGGCCGUAACUAUAACGGUCCUAAGGUAGCGAAAUUCCUUGUCGGGUAAGUUCCGACCUGCACGAAUGGCGUAAUGAUGGCCAGGCUGUCUCCACCCGAGACUCAGUGAAAUUGAACUCGCUGUGAAGAUGCAGUGUACCCGCGGCAAGACGGAAAGACCCCGUGAACCUUUACUACAGCUUGACACUGAACACCGGUCCUUGAUGUGCAGGAUAGGUGGGAGGCUUUGAAGCGUGGACGCCAGUCCGCGUGGAGCCGCCCUUGAAAUACCACCCUUUAAUGGCUGGUGUUCUAACGUUGGCCCGUAAUCCGGGCUGCGGACAGUGUCUGGUGGGUAGUUUGACUGGGGCGGUCUCCUCCCAAAGCGUAACGGAGGAGUACGAAGGUCAGCUAAUCACGGUCGGACAUCGUGAGGUUAGUGCAAUGGCAUAAGCUGGCUUGACUGCGAGCGUGACGGCGCGAGCAGGUGCGAAAGCAGGUCAUAGUGAUCCGGUGGUUCUGAAUGGAAGGGCCAUCGCUCAACGGAUAAAAGGUACUCCGGGGAUAACAGGCUGAUACCGCCCAAGAGUUCAUAUCGACGGCGGUGUUUGGCACCUCGAUGUCGGCUCAUCACAUCCUGGGGCUGAAGUAGGUCCCAAGGGUAUGGCUGUUCGCCAUUUAAAGUGGUACGCGAGCUGGGUUUAGAACGUCGUGAGACAGUUCGGUCCCUAUCUGCCGUGGGCGCUGGAAGACUGAGAGGGGUUGCUCCUAGUACGAGAGGACCGGAGUGAACGCACCGCUGGUGUUCGGGUUGUCAUGCCAAUGGCACUGCCCGGUAGCUACGUGCGGAAGAGAUAAGUGCUGAAAGCAUCUAAGCACGAAACUUGCCUCGAGAUGAGUCUUCCCUGAGGCCUUUGAGCCUCCUGAAGGGACGUUGAAGACGACGACGUUGAUAGGCCGGGUGUGUAAGCGCAGCGAUGCGUUGAGCUGACCGGUACUAAUGACCCGUGAGGCUUAACCUU